ACGGAGGGGGUUAGCGUUGUUCGGAAUUACUGGGCGUAAAGCGCACGUAGGCGGAUCAGAAAGUGUGGGGUGAAAUCCCAGGGCUCAACCCUGGAACUGCCCUGCAAACUAUUGGUCUAGAGUUCGAGAGAGGUAAGUGGAAUUCCGAGUGUAGAGGUGAAAUUCGUAGAUAUUCGGAGGAACACCAGUGGCGAAGGCGGCUUACUGGCUCGAUACUGACGCUGAGGUGCGAAAGUGUGGGGAGCAAACAGG
Molecule: ribosomal RNA, 252 nt
Filed under: uncultured bacterium
Lineage: Bacteria
Description: partial 16S ribosomal RNA
Rfam family: Bacterial small subunit ribosomal RNA
Source: RNAcentral